Molecule: long non-coding RNA, 1479 nt
Organism: Alnus glutinosa
Lineage: Eukaryota; Viridiplantae; Streptophyta; Magnoliopsida; Fagales; Betulaceae
Exons: 2
Source: RefSeq, a predicted model, not a curated record
UUUCAAAACAUCCAAAAAGUAAGAGUAAAACAUUCGCAAAACAAUUUUCAUUUGCAAUCCUCAAUCCGUUGUUUCUCGCCUCUCUUCUCUCUCUCUUGCAUCCCUUCCACUCUCUCCACCCUAGCGGUGGCGUUUUGUAGUGCGUCACGCUAGGGCUUGUUUCUUUCAGAGGUGCUUUCAUCAAAGUUUUCAUCGGUGCUUUUCUGGGGUCGGUUUUUGUUUUUGUUUUCAUAUUCAGGCUAGAGCUUUCAUCAGAGCUCUUUCAUCUUCUCCAACGGGCGGUCUCGUGAGUAUUUCGCCGUGGUGUUUCUUUUUGAGGCUUCUCAGUUAAAGCAUACAUGGAGCGUCGAUUCUCUGUGGAAGCAAAAGCUUUAUACUUUUUAGUGAAGGCUGAUGCGUUUGAGAUUUGCUUGGAGGAAAGGAGGAAGCGGUUUUUUGGUUUUAUUUUUCUGGGUCUCCAGUGUUCUGUGUGGUUGUUGGCCACAGUAGAGGAGGCGCUGAAGGAACCAGUGAAGAAGGAUUUUGUCAAGUCCUACUGCGAAGAUGUGAAAGCAUUGAUGGUUCGUGAGGGUGGGAAUAAGGCUGGUCGUUACCUUGAGGUGGUUGUCUUUGUUGAGGGUGGUCGUAAAGGGGUUAUUUGGCUCCCUGAAGACCGUGAAGGAUGGGCUGGUCUUAGGUUGUGGGUGAGUUGUGGAAGAUGCUUACUUUUUCAAAGGCUCAGUCGUAGGUUUCUUAGACAUCCGCAUCAGAGGGGAUACAGAAGGGGGGUGUUUCGUCCAGUCGUCUGGGUGGGGUUUCUCCAUCCUUUGCGGAAGUGGUUUGGGGAAAGCUGUUUCUCGUGUCAAGCAUCCUAGGCUAUGGGUUUUGGAGUUAGAGUUGCGUGGGUUGGAUUUGCUUUCGGUGGCGUGGUGUAGGGUGGUCGAAGACCCGAGAAUGGCAGUGAAUUACUAUGAUUUGGAGGAGCAACCGCACGGGUUGUUGGAGAAGAAUAAGAAUCCAGUUUGUUUCCAUGGUGGCGGCGUGGCUAGGAAGAAGAUGAAGCUAGGGCUUUAUCGUUUGUGGAAGAAGCUUCUAGAGUGGCUUUGGGCUGCUUUGGACCGGGUUUCAACUUAUGUCUCGAUUGGACAUACCUGCUAUUGCAUCCUCCUUUGCUCAUACUGGACCUAGUAAUGGGGAAGAUGAUUGGCAGUGGUAGCUUGAGGGAUGGCUUGUACUACCUUGACUCUCAGCCCAACACGCAAGUUCGGCUCAUACAGGCUUAUUAUUCAGUUCAGGCGGAUAACUGCACCUAAAAUCUAGCUCUGACUAAUCGCGAUUAGGGCAUCCUUCCUUUUUAAUUUUGCAACACAUGUUUCCUUCUUUAUUUGUGCAUAAUAACGUUUCUAAGUUUCAAUGUGAAACUUGUGAACUUUCUAAACACCAUCGCUUGUCUUUUUCUCCUAGUAUCAAUAAAAGUGAUGAGCCUUUUGUUCUUGUUCA